Molecule: ribosomal RNA, 435 nt
Filed under: uncultured bacterium
Lineage: Bacteria
Description: bacterial SSU rRNA
Rfam family: Bacterial small subunit ribosomal RNA
Source: RNAcentral
UGAGGAAUAUUGGUCAAUGGUCGCUAGACUGAACCAGCCAAGCAGCGUGCGGGAUGAAGGCCCUCCGGGUCGUAAACCGCUUUUAGACGGGGAUAAAAGGGCGUACGUGUACGCCGUAUUGCAUGUACCGUCAGAAAAACGGACCGGCUAAUUCCGUGCCAGCAGCCGCGGUAAUACGGAAGGUCCGGGCGUUAUCCGGAUUAUUGGGUUUAAAGGGAGCGUAGGCGGACUUUCAAGUCAGUGGUAAAAUCGUGUGGCUCAACCAUACCUCGCCAUUGAAACUGGAAGUCUGGAGUGCACACAGGGGUGCCGGAAUUCAUGGUGUAGCGGUGAAAUGCUUAGAUAUCAUGAAGAACUCCGAUCGCGAAGGCAAGUGCCCGGGGUGCAACUGACGCUGAGGCUCGAAGGUGCGGGUAUCGAACAGGAUUAGAUACC